RNAcentral lists this ribosomal RNA (444 nucleotides) under uncultured prokaryote. Its description in RNAcentral is "bacterial SSU rRNA". It matches the Rfam family "Bacterial small subunit ribosomal RNA", at positions 338 to 774 of the family's 1533-position model. The record is from RNAcentral.
CCAACGGGGUGCAGCAGUGGGGAAUUUUGGACAAUGGGCGCAAGCCUGAUCCAGCCAUGCCGCGUGAGUGAAGAAGGCCUUCGGGUUGUAAAGCUCUUUCGGUUGGGAAGAAAUUGCACUGGUUAAUACCUAGUGUAGAUGACGGUACCAGCAUAAGAAGCACCGGCUAACUACGUGCCAGCAGCCGCGGUAAUACGUAGGGUGCGAGCGUUAAUCGGAAUUACUGGGCGUAAAGCGUGCGCAGGCGGUUGUAUAAGUCAGAUGUGAAAUCCCCGGGCUCAACCUGGGAACUGCAUUUGAGACUGUACGGCUAGAGUGUGGCAGAGGGGGGUGGAAUUCCACGUGUAGCAGUGAAAUGCGUAGAGAUGUGGAGGAACACCGAUGGCGAAGGCAGCCCCCUGGGCCAAUACUGACGCUCAUGCACGAAAGCGUGGGGAGCAAACA